GGUCGCGUAACUCAGUUGGUUAGAGUGUCGUACUAAUAAUGCGAAAGCCGAGAGUUCAAGCCUCUCCGUGACCA
This 74-nucleotide transfer RNA is filed under the name Eutypa lata UCREL1. RNAcentral's name for it is "tRNA-Ile (AAT) (tRNA-Ile-AAT-2 1 to 4)". It matches the Rfam family "tRNA". Rfam says of the family: Transfer RNA (tRNA) molecules are approximately 80 nucleotides in length. Their secondary structure includes four short double-helical elements and three loops (D, anti-codon, and T loops). Lineage: Eukaryota; Fungi; Ascomycota; Sordariomycetes; Xylariales; Diatrypaceae. The record is from RNAcentral.